AGUGAACGCUGGCGGUAGGCCUAACACAUGCAAGUCGAACGGCAGCACAGUAAGAGCUUGCUCUUACGGGUGGCGAGUGGCGGACGGGUGAGGAAUACAUCGGAAUCUACUUUUUCGUGGGGGAUAACGUAGGGAAACUUACGCUAAUACCGCAUACGACCUACGGGUGAAAGCAGGGGAUCUUCGGACCUUGCGCGAUUGAAUGAGCCGAUGUCGGAUUAGCUAGUUGGCGGGGUAAAGGCCCACCAAGGCGACGAUCCGUAGCUGGUCUGAGAGGAUGAUCAGCCACACUGGAACUGAGACACGGUCCAGACUCCUACGGGAGGCAGCAGUGGGGAAUAGUGGACAAUGGGCGCAAGCCUGAUCCAGCCAUACCGCGUGGGUGAAGAAGGCCUGCGGGUUGUAAAGCCCUUUUGUUGGGAAAGAAAAGCAGCAGGUUAAUACCCCGCUGUUCUGACGGUACCCAAAGAAUAAGCACCGGCUAACUUCGU
This 491-nucleotide ribosomal RNA is filed under the name uncultured bacterium. RNAcentral describes it as "partial 16S ribosomal RNA". It matches the Rfam family "Bacterial small subunit ribosomal RNA", at positions 29 to 506 of the family's 1533-position model. The record is from RNAcentral.